Molecule: ribosomal RNA, 253 nt
Filed under: uncultured bacterium
Lineage: Bacteria
Description: partial 16S ribosomal RNA
Rfam family: Bacterial small subunit ribosomal RNA
Source: RNAcentral
UACAGAGGUCUCAAGCGUUGUUCGGAUUCAUUGGGCGUAAAGGGUGCGUAGGUGGCGGGGUAAGUCAGGUGUGAAAUCUCGGGGCUCAACCCCGAAACUGCAUUUGAUACUGCCUUGCUCGAGUACUGGAGAGGAGAUUGGAAUUUACGGUGUAGCAGUGAAAUGCGUAGAUAUCGUAAGGAAGACCAGUGGCGAAGGCGAAUCUCUGGACAGUUACUGACACUGAGGCACGAAGGCCAGGGGAGCAAACGGG